AUGAGCUCAUAUGAUAAUCGUGCCCUGCAGGCAUGAGUUGUGGUCUUGGGAGGUACUGCCCGCAGCAGCUCAGAGGUUUGCCUCUUGAAAGAGAGCGCUGGCGAAGGUGAUUGCCCUACGUCCUUUGAUGCCUGCUGCACCCGGCGUACUCUCCACGAGUCACGUUCCUUGGGAGUGGAGCGCUAAGUGGGUGGUAGACUUCAUCUAAAGCUAAAUUGUUGCUCGGGACCGAUAGCACACAAGUACCAUGAGGGAAAGGUGACAAGGACUUUGGAAAGAGAGUGAAAAGUGCCUGAAAUUGCUGGAAGGGAAGCGGAUGAAAUCAGAUGUGCUUGUGAGAUUGUCCGGCAGUCAGGGAGGUUGUUGCCACCUGUUGGUGACAGCACCACCCGCCGUGCAGGAUGUUUCUUGCUGCUUAUGUUGGUGCAUACCCAUCAUUGGCAAUCUUGCUUGGUGUCACGUCAGCAUUCUUUCUAGCUUGCGGGUGCAUCUUGACAAGCCCACGGUGGGUUGUUCGUGAUCGUGUCCAAA
This 531-nucleotide ribosomal RNA is filed under the name Hemidinium nasutum. RNAcentral describes it as "LSU rRNA". It matches the Rfam family "Eukaryotic large subunit ribosomal RNA", at positions 103 to 648 of the family's 3401-position model. The record is from RNAcentral. Lineage: Eukaryota; Dinophyceae; Suessiales; Hemidiniaceae.